UCUUUGUGACCUGCUCUGAAUUUGUUCCAAUGGGUCUAUGUCUUUCUUGUGCUGGGAGCCCCAGACCAUGAUAAUUCAGUUUAGGCAACCCACUUGAGUCUGUCCCUUUCUUAUUUUCUAUUUUCCAUCUUGAGUACUCCAGUAUUCAAGGAGCCUUCCUACUGCAGAAUUGAAAGACCGUUCAUAUGAAAUAUGAAGGAAUCCACUGAGAAUUCAGGGUAACAGUCACUCAACUGAAGCAUAGGGGUUACUCAAGAAGCAUAAAUUCAUUCCAGCUGCC
Molecule: long non-coding RNA, 280 nt
Filed under: Manacus vitellinus (golden-collared manakin)
Lineage: Eukaryota; Metazoa; Chordata; Aves; Passeriformes; Pipridae
Description: lncRNA (ENSMVIG00005009133.1)
Source: RNAcentral